UAGGGAAUUUUCGUCAAUGGGCGCGAAGCCUGAACGAGCGAUGCCGCGUGAGUGAAGAAGGCCUUCGGUCGUAAAGCUCUGUUGCGGGGGAAAAAAGGCAGCAUCAGGAAAUGGGUGCUGACUGAUGGUGCCCCGCCAGAAAGUCACGGCUAACUACGUGCC
RNAcentral lists this ribosomal RNA (162 nucleotides) under uncultured bacterium. RNAcentral's name for it is "partial 16S ribosomal RNA". It matches the Rfam family "Bacterial small subunit ribosomal RNA", at positions 355 to 509 of the family's 1533-position model. The record is from RNAcentral.